RNAcentral lists this ribosomal RNA (253 nucleotides) under uncultured bacterium. RNAcentral's name for it is "partial 16S ribosomal RNA". It matches the Rfam family "Bacterial small subunit ribosomal RNA", at positions 524 to 776 of the family's 1533-position model. The record is from RNAcentral.
UACAUGGGGUGCAAACGUUGCUCGGAAUCAUUGGGCGUAAAGCGCGUGAAGGCGGUUACUUAAGUCGGAUGUGAAAGCCCUCGGCUUAACUGAGGAAGUGCAUCCGAAACUGGGUAGCUAGAGUACGAAAGAGGGUCGCGGAAUUCCCGGUGUAGAGGUGAAAUUCGUAGAUAUCGGGAGGAACACCCGUGGCGAAGGCGGUUCUCUGGGACGGUACUGACGCUGAGACGCGAAAGCGUGGGGAGCGAACAGG